CUCCAUAACUUUUAACAUAUGACAUUGAAGACUCUUCAGGGUUGGGACCAUCACAGGAAAGGUUUUCUCAUUUUCACAGAUGGCAACAUUAUUGUUUUUGCAGAUGAGUUUGAGUCCUGAAGGAGCUGAGUGUCCUCUUCCUACAGAGAAAGUAUGGGUGGCCCCCACUGAGGUCUCACCUUCUGUGCAGUACUGGACAUCUGGCAGUGGGUUGAUGUGACCGAGAUCUGCAGGCAAGCAUACAGAAAGGAAGAAUCCAACACUAGCCAGUCUGAGACAAGAUCCUGGACCAAGCGGACCAUUGAUUUGUCUCAGUUCAGCACAUUUUCUGUAUCACAUUUAAAUUAUGACCCCCAAAGACUGUUUUACAAGCUAUUCUAGCUACAGAAGUGUUUUAAAAAAGCCCACAAAACUGACCUUUCUGUGUUCUGCCUUUGACACAUCUAGAUCUGAGUCCAUGGAAGAAGGAAUAGGAGGAAAAAAGCUGUUUCCAUUAAGAAGUCUUCUUAUUUCAGCUCUCUGACUUUUCACACAUCUUUAUCUAGCUGUGAAGAAUAGGGUAUGGCAUACAUAAAAACUGCAUUUAAAAGCCUGGUCAGCAUCUCCAACUAAGAGACUUAUCCUGCCACUGAAUCAACUAUGGAAAAAAGACACUGAACUCCAGAUGCCCGUGUGGAGGAGGAGUGUUUCCUUAUGAGAUGUUUAAACUAUAUUGCACUGCAGCAGUGCUUCCUGCUGAACACUGCCGCACACAGGCAGAACCAGGAGUUCAGGUGUACUUUGUAGACAUUCCCUGUCUAAUAAUGAUAGAAGUGGCUAUCAAAUCAAUGCUUCCUUGUAUGCUGUGUCCAUAUAAGCUUUGUCAUUCUUCAGGAACCUGUCAAGUUCAGGUCAGAUGUGCCUGCUGUUUUGCAUGGGGAAAAAUAUAUGUACUUCUUGCUGUUGUAUAACUUCAGUCUUUCAUAGAAAUAACCUUCACAGAAAAAUGGAAUGGGAUGUCACAACCAGAAUGAGAUGUUAAUAGUGAUAGUCCUAACAAGGUCCUCUGUAGUAUUAUUUAGGCUUCCAAUGUCCCUUGGAUUUUCUGUGUAGUUUGACUAAUUCCUGGACCUGUGCUCAGCCAUAGCAGCCUUUGCAACUUUUCAGCCAUGUGCUCUUAGAGGCAAGAAAAGGAAACUUAACAGAAGCAUGGGGCAGAACAACAUGGUGUUCCAUCCUGUUGAGAAGCUGUGCUUAUUCAAAUACCCAAAUUUCAAUAAAAUGGAUCUUUUAAUAGAA
This is a non-coding RNA of Coturnix japonica (Japanese quail), 1278 nucleotides long. Lineage: Eukaryota; Metazoa; Chordata; Aves; Galliformes; Phasianidae. The record is from RefSeq and is a predicted model, not a curated record.